This 419-nucleotide ribosomal RNA is filed under the name Bifidobacterium breve. RNAcentral's name for it is "bacterial SSU rRNA". It matches the Rfam family "Bacterial small subunit ribosomal RNA", at positions 51 to 469 of the family's 1533-position model. Lineage: Bacteria; Bacillati; Actinomycetota; Actinomycetes; Bifidobacteriales; Bifidobacteriaceae. The record is from RNAcentral.
ACACAUGCAAGUCGAACGGGAUCCAUCGGGCUUUGCCUGGUGGUGAGAGUGGCGAACGGGUGAGUAAUGCGUGACCGACCUGCCCCAUGCACCGGAAUAGCUCCUGGAAACGGGUGGUAAUGCCGGAUGCUCCAUCACACCGCAUGGUGUGUUGGGAAAGCCUUUGCGGCAUGGGAUGGGGUCGCGUCCUAUCAGCUUGAUGGCGGGGUAACGGCCCACCAUGGCUUCGACGGGUAGCCGGCCUGAGAGGGCGACCGGCCACAUUGGGACUGAGAUACGGCCCAGACUCCUACGGGAGGCAGCAGUGGGGAAUAUUGCACAAUGGGCGCAAGCCUGAUGCAGCGACGCCGCGUGAGGGAUGGAGGCCUUCGGGUUGUAAACCUCUUUUGUUAGGGAGCAAGGCUUUUUUUGUUUAGUGU